This 143-nucleotide ribosomal RNA is filed under the name uncultured bacterium. RNAcentral describes it as "partial 16S rRNA". It matches the Rfam family "Bacterial small subunit ribosomal RNA", at positions 353 to 511 of the family's 1533-position model. The record is from RNAcentral.
UGGGGGAAUUUUUCCGCAAUGGGCGAAAGCCUGACGGAGCAAUGCCGCGUGGAGGUGGAAGGCCUACGGGUCGUCAACUUCUUUUCUCGGAGAAGAAACAAUGACGGUAUCUGAGGAAUAAGCAUCGGCUAACUCUGUGCCAG